UCGCCAGACUCCUACGGGAGGCAGCAGUGGGGAAUAUUGCACAAUGGGGGAAACCCUGAUGCAGCGACGCCGCGUGAAGGAAGAAGUAUUUCGGUAUGUAAACUUCUAUCAGCAGGGAAGAAAAUGACGGUACCUGACUAAGAAGCCCCGGCUAACUACGUGCCAGCAGCCGCGGUAAUACGUAGGGGGCAAGCGUUAUCCGGAUUUACUGGGUGUAAAGGGAGCGUAGGCGGUUUAGCAAGUCAGGAGUGAAAGCCCGGGGCCCAACCCCGAGACUGCUCUUGGAACUGCGCGGCUGGAGUGCAGGAGGGGCAGGCGGAAUUCCUGGUGUAGCGGUGAAAUGCGUAGAUAUCAGGAGGAACACCGGUGGCGAAGGCGGCCUGCUGGACUGCGACUGACGUUGAGGCCCGAAAGCGUGGGGAGCAAACAGGAUUAGAUACCCCUGUAGCC
RNAcentral lists this ribosomal RNA (450 nucleotides) under uncultured bacterium. RNAcentral describes it as "bacterial SSU rRNA". It matches the Rfam family "Bacterial small subunit ribosomal RNA", at positions 328 to 795 of the family's 1533-position model. The record is from RNAcentral.